AUGCCCCCAUCGACCUUCGCCCCCGGCCCCUCCUCCCCACCCAGGCAGGCAGGCAGCUUCCGCCUUUAGGGCAACCCUAGCCAAAUCCCCAAUCCCACCGGCCACCACCACGUAUUCCUUGUCGAUGCGACUCCCGCCGCACCCUCGCUAGCCACCUCCUCUCCGUCGUCGCAGCACCGCAGCUAGGCCGUGGUCGCAUCGCUACAUCCUCCCAACCGAGGCACCACAGCUACUCCUCCUCUUCCCCCCACCGUUGCCAUAAGGAGGCGCCAGAGGAGGCAUGCACUGCGGCGAGGCAUGCAGACGGCGGUUAAACCCUAGCGAGACAGCUCGGGGUGAGACGGCGGAUGCCGCUGUAGGUCGACGAGGGCCGGCUCCGCCGCCCGCGCAAGGCGCUCAUCGACCUCGUCACGCUUCUCGUAUAAAUAAACAGCAUCCCCCUCUCAAUCCAAAUCCACCAAACCCACUCCUCUGCUGCCGCAUUCCAACCCAUUCCCAUCGUCUUCAACGACCAACCCAGCGCCACCAGCAGCGCCAUCAGCAGGAGAGAGAUCGCCGGAGCCAUGACGAGGGGCGGCGGAGGCGACAUGAAGUCCUUCUACCGUCAGCAGAAGACGCACGCCGCCGCCGCCACUACCAAGCCCACUGGCGGCGUCUCCAAGAAGGCGGCGGUGCACCACCACAAGAAGGCCGCGCUCGCCACCAACGUCCACCCAGCCCUAGAGGAGCAGUGUUCCAGCUAUAGGCAAUAGAUUACACUCGGCCUUGAUCCUCUCAAGAAAUUCUGCGUGCAAUCUGAAGGGCAUACGAGCACACAUAGAACAAGACUUGGAGUUCAAAAUCUACAGCAGGGCCAGGCUUCAACAUUCAGUUCAGGAUAGGGCUGACAAUGGGUUAUAAAUUUUGCACUAUAAGUUUUAAGGAUCGAAUCGGGUUAGGAUCGGGCUCUAUUACUAGUCAUUUUUGAACUAUAGUUUAUUUAGGGCCUUGACAUUUUGUGAAGAACCAUUUGGAUCACGAUCCAUUACCACCCCUAGUUCAGGAACAUCCACCGUCCCCAGCUGUGCAGAAAAAAAAACUGGCGCCAUAGUGACGAUGCAAUCCAGAAACUCUUGCAAGGUCUUUAUAUUCAACAGUUUGAAGCUCGAAAUUAACUCAACGCCUUACUAAACCAUAAGCUCCAACAGCACACCCUCACGGCACUAACAGCACGAAGAUGAAUGGCAACCAGGAGCCAUCCUCGCCUCUCCUUUUUCACGAGCCUCGCCUGAAGCCUUUUUCUAGAUAGCUUUCGUCGUGAACUUCCAGGCCAGUGGUCAGAAUUCAGAAUCUCCAACCAUACAGGCACCAUCUGUGAGACUGUGAUCUGUCUUGAACCUCCUGGGAGCUAUCAAUUUUUCGAGCUCACCCUAGAAAACCUCUUUAUUAAUAAUUUGAAUGCCGAGAACCGAUGCACCGCUGACUAUGCUACAGCUUUCCUGAUUGCUCUGCUCCGAAGUCCUGCGCAGGAUGUCGAAGAGUGAAACGCCUGAACUCAUGUUACACCCCGUACUUGCCCUUGUGCCCACUGGUUUUGGCUAUGGACUGAACUUGGCCUUCUUGGGUUGAGAGGAGUUGGCUUGGUCCUGCAGGAUGGAAAUAAAAAAUAGCCAAGCACAUUCUGGGAGACAAGAAAUGAAUGCCAUGAUAGGGCAGAUUCAAACUCAUGGAUAAAGCAGAGUAGAGCUUCAAAACAAGCUUGGUAAGUUCCUACUGCUGCUGUCAUCACGACCAAAUACAUAGGAUCUAUAGACUCAUCUAUGAGAAGAUGCCAGUGAACCACUGGCAGUUUAUCCAAGAAACGAUGACUGCAAGGAAUACACUAGAUCAGAUGUUGCAACUGGUACUACCUCUUGAUCUGCAUGGCAGCACUCAUGUAGUCUAUCCAUUCAUUCAUUAAUAUUAUGUUUGCCUAGCCUAAAAAAUCCCAAACAUGGAUAUGGAUAAAGAAACAUUAAGUAAAGAACAGUGUGGUCUCUAAAUGUUAAUAGAAUAUUCAGUUAGGCUUGUUUUGUUGUUCAGAAGAUUUUAAAUAUGCUGCUUCAUUCAGUUGACUGAAUUUUCCAAAAAUUCUCACAACUAGGAUUUUUUAAAAUCUGCCUUCUGAAAUCAUCUAAAAGAAAGCAGUGAAUCACAAAUUAGUAGAGAAUUUUGUGAAAUUAUUCAAAAAAAUUCAAAGUAUUCAAUGAGUCACUGAGAUCUUUGAAUAAUCGAUGAUGCUUCAUUGCUCUUUCAAACAAGUGUUACAUGAGUCAUUUAUAAAACUGUGGAAAACUUUAGAUAAAAUUUCCAUGAAAUUAGUGUGAAGCAACGCAGAACAUUAACAUGUUGUGCACUCAUGCAAGGAACAGAGCACCCAGUACUACUGGUUCUUAGAUAAAUGGAUUAACACCCAGUACUGCAAGGAACAGAGCAUCCGUGCAUACCUAUUGGCAACAAAGCCUUCUGUUGCAUCAUUAUGCAUUCACUUUGCAAUGAUUUUUUUGCACUGAUAAGGAGAAGUAGUCUUUUAUGUUAUUUUGCCACCAUUUGCAGUAGUUCUAGCUUUACUCGUUGGCCAAUUUAUCAGUUGCAGGUACUAACGGUGCCAGGCUACCAGCUUUGACUAUGUGAUUUCAUUACUUGUUGUAUUCAGAAAAUCUAAUAUUAUGAAGGUCAACUUUCUUAUUUUACUGAAAGUCUAAAAGGCACUACCUAUUAACAUAUUAGUGCCUGCUCAAGUGCAGAAAAGUGGUCAAAAUCUUCCUUGUGUUGUCUUAGCAAUGCUUUAGCACUCCAUAUAUUCUAUUAUAAUUAGGCAGGGUUGGAGAAGAAAAGCGCAUCACAGGGAAUAUCUAUGGCACUUUUAUACUCAUGUUCUUGUGUUUCUUGUUUGCAGCCUACACAAAUCUGGAGUUUGAACACACGACAGGUGAUAUGCUUAUCUUUUGUGGAUGGACUGUUCGCUUGGCUUUUGCUGAUUGAAUUGGAGCUGCACUUGUAGUUUGGUAACGUUUAUAUACAUAACUAUGCGGAUUGCGUUAGCUAGAAUAUGUCUUCCAGUACCAGGGUGACAAUGGGCUCUAAAUUUUACACUAAAAUUUAAGAAUCCGAUCGGGUUAUGAUCAGGUUAUAUUUAUAUUUAUUAUUGAACUAAAAUUAAUUUAGGACCCUAACAAAUUGUGGAGAAACAUUUUGAAUCGUGAUCCAUUAUCACCCCUACCAGUACCACAUACAUACCUCCCGUUGUGGUGUUUAACCCUACGUGCAGACCUUGUCACCUUAUUUUGGAUCGAUUCCCUGUUGUAUGUGGCUUGUGCUAAAACAAGAAACACUUGCAACUUUACUAGAAAUUAUGGUCAGACUCUCUUUCUCUGUGUUCGUUUGAUUGUUGCUCUGGCUGUCUCCUGCUAACCAAUUUUGUGGGAAAUUCAACCUUUGAAGCAUCAAUGCGGUGAAUAAUUUCUCAAACCCUUAGUAUGUUUUCCCUAAUGCUGGAUAAGGUGCUCUCAAAAAGGUCAGUUCCUAUUUGAUGGUGCAUUCAUUAUUUGGUUGUGCAUGGUUAAUGGUGCCAUCUUUCUUGUAUGAAUGCCUGAUAUCUAAUCGUGCAAGCAUAUUUCUCAUGUAUUCUAUCUCUGUGUGAUAUUAACUGUGCCAAAGUAUAUCUCCCAAACAUAUAUGAUUGUAAUGCAUGUUAUAGAGCAUUAUUUGGUUGUUUUAGUAUUUUAUAUGCUCAGGCAAAAAAUAACUUGAAAAUUUUGAUUCAUUUCCUUUUUCCAGCCAUAUGAAACCUAUGGAUAUAAAUCCAGGUGAUGAUUGGACAAAUGUAAGUAUCCCUUUGAUACAUAAUAACCAGCAUGCCCAACGUGAUGGAUGGUGGCGACCGUCUGAGACAAGGUAACUUAAAACUUCUAUGCACACAAUUUGAUCUCUUCUUCAUUAUGUCCCUCAUACUGGUUAUAUAUCAUUAUAUUUUUUGCUCUGUUCGCACAAACUACUUUUGUUAUUCAUCAAUCAGACGCGUUAAGUGGCGACCAUCUAUUUGUCGUUCUGCUCCCCUUAACAUGUAACUGUUAAGUGGUAACCAAUCAGACACGUCCAUUUCAAGGUUUUCCUUAGUUUCCAUUGAAAUUUAUCUAUUACCAUGGUUAUCUGUUAACCAAACUAUGAAGUUCUGCAUAUAAUGGUCAGAGGCUAUGGUAUUUAUCUUAUAGUACAGGAAAUAGACGCCGAAGCAGCUCCUAUGUUCCAUUGAAGAAAGAAGGCAAUUCAAUUCUGAAUGAUAAGAAAAAUACCAAGCUUCGAGUACUUGUCGUUCGAGAUCCUUGUGCUAUUUGCAGGGCUGAUGCCCGACUCUCAGCUCAGCACUUCCAUCAUUGUGAUGUGCCAAAACACCGAAGCCAUAUCAUACAUGAUCACCUAUGGCUUCGCCGCUGUCAUCAGCACAAGGGUGUCCAACGAGCUGGGAGCCCGGAACAUCGCCAACGCCAGGAAGGCGCUCACCGUGUCGCUGGCGCUGUCCCUGAUGCUGGGGGUGGUGUUCCUGCUGCUACUGGGCCUCGGCCAUGACCUCUGGGUGCGCCUCUUCACCACCAGCGAGGCCGUGGUCAGCGCCUUCGCCUCCAUGACGCCGCUGCUCAUCGGCUCCGUCGUGCUGGACUCCACGCAGGGGGUACUCUGCGGCGUCACCAGGGGCUGCGGGUGGCAGCACCUGGCGGCGUGGACAAACCUGGUGGCCUUCUAUGUCAUCGGCUUGCCGCUCGCCAUCCUCUUCGGAUUCACGCUCGCCUUCCAAACCAAGGGGCUGUGGAUGGGGCAGAUAUGUAGCCUCCUCUGCCAGAACUGCGUCCUCUUUUUUAUCACCCUGCGAACCAACUGGCAGGAGUUAGACCUGACCAUGUUCAACAAGGACAACGAUUUUGUCUGCUAGGAUUCUAGAAAGAGUUUUUCUUUUCUUUUUUGCCAUGUGCUGUUGCUGAAACAUUGAACCAUCAGCAUCAGGCUUCGACAGAGCUGUUUGGUGUUUGCUCAUCAAUUCAUCAUCAGUGUAACACUACAGAUUGUAACAUUUGGAAUCUCGAAGAUAGGAAUUAAAAAUGUUCU
Molecule: RNA transcript, 5121 nt
Organism: Zea mays
Lineage: Eukaryota; Viridiplantae; Streptophyta; Magnoliopsida; Poales; Poaceae
Exons: 5
Source: RefSeq, marked validated